CAAUUAAUUGUUUUCCUUUAUAAGAGUUGCCGUGGUCAGGGUGUCUCUUCACAGCCAUGUAGCCCUAACUAAGACAGACCCUGUUCUCCUCGCUUCUUUUUCUGCCCUGACACUCCUCAGAGCCAAAGGCAGCCAUAUGGGAGGCAGCCACGUACACUGCAUUUUCCUUCCCAGUCAGACGUUCUGAUCCAGAACCAGAUUGUCACAUUCUCCAUAGCCGCCAGUGCCCCUCCCCCUCACACCUACGCGUGGCCAUUUGCAGUUCCUGUCUUCCCUCUGUGCACUUUGUGAUCCAGAGGGGCAUGCUUGUGUUUCCCCACGGUGUAGAAUUGGAGUAACCAUGAAUUCACAAGCUCUGUCAGGCUCCUUGGCUGUGAUAGGGCAAAAGGUCCUGAUUUCCCUUGACGGCUGGCCAUUAGCAAACAGUCUUUGUUCCAAUACCCCCCCCUUCUCUCUCUCUCUCCCUGGCUGGCCCUGCUAUGUAGACCAGGCUGGCCUUGAACUCACAGAGUUCCACCUGCUUCAGCGUCCCAGAUGCUGGUAUGCACCACCACACCCAAGGCCUCUGUCUUUUUUUAACCGUGCAUCUUCUCUUACCUGUUAUAAAAGUGUUACUGAACAUGGAGUCACUGUUAGGUCCCAAGCCCCCAAUGGCAGUGCCACUGACAAGGUCCAGAAUGACAGUCUGGGCUCAGAGGGUUGCUGGCUGAUGGAUGCAAGCUUACACUCAGCGUUCCUCAGGAACCUGUUAAACGUGUUUUCUGCCUGCCAGGAAGUGCCUCUUCCUUUAUCUCCCCUCACCUCUGACAAAUGGGCGCCCUGUUCCUCUACUAGCACAUACCUGUCACACACAGCAAAACCCCAUGCUAAACUCCAGGCCCCUUCAGCCUUUACUAUGGUUCCCGUAAUCCACAGUAAAGCCACCAGCCUCUUCUGGCCUGUACAACUCCUACCCUACCCUAAACGUCCAGGGUGUUCCAGCGUCAGCUUCUUCCUGUCAAGACUUUCCCCCACCUUUUUGCUACUCUCUCUG
This 1033-nucleotide long non-coding RNA is filed under the name Meriones unguiculatus (Mongolian gerbil). RNAcentral describes it as "lncRNA (ENSMUGG00000023248.1)". Lineage: Eukaryota; Metazoa; Chordata; Mammalia; Rodentia; Muridae. The record is from RNAcentral.